This is a non-coding RNA of Arvicanthis niloticus (Nile rat), 540 nucleotides long. The record is from RefSeq and is a predicted model, not a curated record. NCBI's taxonomy places the organism in Eukaryota, Metazoa, Chordata, Mammalia, Rodentia, Muridae.
AUGGGGGGCUUUUUCUCAAGUAUUUUUUCCAGUCUCUUUGGAACCAGGGAAAUGAGGAUUUUAGUUCUGGGAUUAGAUGGUGCUGUAAAAAAGACAAUUUUGCACAGAUUACAGGUUGGAGAAGUUGUUACUACUAUUCACACUAUUGGAUUUAAUAUUGUUUUUUUUUUUUUUUUUAAUCUCAAAUUCCAAGUUUGAGACUUAGAAGGACAGACAAGUGUCAGGCCAUACUGAAGAUGUUAUUAUUCAAACACAGAUGCAGUCAUCUAUGUCGUUGACAGUUGUGACUGAGACCAAAUUGGCAUUUCCAAGUCAGAGUUAGUUGCCAUGUUGGAAGAAGAAGAGCUGAGAAAAGCCAUUUUAGUGGUGUUUGCAAAUAAACAGGACAUGGAGCAGACCAUGACACUUUCAGAAAUGGCAAAUGCUCUUGGGUUACCUGCCCUGAAGGACCUGAAAUGGCAGAUCUUUAAAAUGUCAGCAACCACAGGCACCAGCCUUGACGAGGCAAUGUUAGUUGAAACACUGAAAAGCAGAAGGUGA